CCUACGGGUGGCAGCAGUGGGGAAUAUUGCACAAUGGGGGAAACCCUGAUGCAGCGACGCCGCGUGAGCGAUGAAGUAUUUCGGUAUGUUAAGCUCUAUUAGCAGGGAAGAAAAUGACGGUACCUGACUAAGAAGCCCCGGCUAACUACGUGCCAGCAGCCGUGGUAAUAUGUAGGGGGCAAGCGUUAUACGGAUUUACUGGGUGUAAAGGGAGCGUAGACGGCGGUGCAAGUCAGAUGUGAAAGCCCUGGGCUCAACCCCGUAACUGCAUUUGGAACUGUGCUGCUAGAGUGUCGGAGAGGCAGGCGGAAUUCAUGGUGUAGCGGUGAAAUGCGUAGAUAUUAGAAUGAACACCGAUGGCGAAGGCAGCCUGCUGGACGAUAACUGACGUUGAGGCUCGAAAGCGUGGGGAGCAAACAGGAUUAGAUACCCUUGUAGUC
Molecule: ribosomal RNA, 440 nt
Filed under: uncultured bacterium
Lineage: Bacteria
Description: partial 16S ribosomal RNA
Rfam family: Bacterial small subunit ribosomal RNA
Source: RNAcentral